CUUGAUUCUUGACUGGUGUGACGGCACCGUAAUCCCUCCAAUCAAUGCUUUGAGGUAUCGCGGACAUGUUUACAUCCUCAAACGACACCGAUGGCUCUAAAUUUGUCAUAUUUAGAGGAAGAGAUAGACCGACAUGCUGAGCCACAAUUUCAUUAUUUGUCAUGUCAGCGAAUUGGUUAAUGCCCAGAGUAUACGAGUUUCCGCCACGCCUGUUAAAGGCUUCGAUGCGGUUUACAUUGUCUUUAAAGAUCUCAAAACGGCGCAUCUUCUCAGCAUCGUCACUGUAAACUCGGCCGAAAUCAGCCAUCCAUUCUUCAAACCUCUUCAUCAUCGAAUCAUCUGCUUCGCCGCGAGAAGCCAACGACGAAGCCCACAUCACAGAAAGAAACAAAAAAAGAAACAAUAUUUGGAAUUUGGAAGCCAUAGCUCUGACUUACAAAUGCUUUUGUUGCUGAGAGUUAGGCUCUCCGCAUCGAGUUUAUAUAGAAGUUCUCGGCCCAUGCACUAAAGUUGCUGGACCAUUAAAUNUCGAAUCAUCUGCUUCGCCGCGAGAAGCCAACGACGAAGCCCACAUCACAGAAAGAAACAAAAAAAGAAACAAUAUUUGGAAUUUGGAAGCCAUAACUCUGACUUACAAAUGCUUUCGUUGCUGAGAGUAAGGCUCUCCGCAUCGAGUUUAUAUAGAAGUUCUCGGCCUAUGUACUAAAGUUGCUGGACCAUUAAAUUUUAAUUUUUUAAAAACUUUUUUUAGAGGAAAAGAUACAACGUGCAUGUGAUGAAAUCAUUAAUUAAUUUCUCUCUUAUCCAUUGUUCGAUAGGAAAGUCGCAAUCAAGAGAGGUACAACUUUUCACUCCGUACGCGAGAGUUAUAGUGGCUGAGCUUGCCCCUCCAUGUGUGUUGACGUACGUCGUUGCAUGAUUGAUAAUACAGCAUGCGUUGCACAACAGGAAUUAAAAAUACAGCAUGUGCAUGCGCAACAGGAAUUAAAAAAUACAGCAUGUGUCGCACUAUAGGAAUAAGAAUAAGAGCCGCACAUAAUUUUAAAAUGAUAUAUGUACAUUAACAAAUAUUAUUAUUGUUUACAAUAGCUCUUUUUCUUUUUUUUUUCUUUUUUUUUUGAGAGGAAUCUCAUCAAAAAUAGAGAAUUGUCUAGAUAUCUAUCGUUUCCUGAUGUGUCGAUAUGUUGAAGGUGUUUUGGAUUAUAGUGGCGUUGGACCACAACAUACAUGUGAGUAGUUUAGAUAUCAUGUUAUUUUCUGUAGAUAUUUAAGAUUUCGAUAAAUUGAACUACAUGUCUCUAUUUUUUAAAAAAUUUGAUAUAUAUUUAAGACAUGACUCUUUCAAUUAUAUCAUGCUAGUUCUUAUUCUGAAUAAAAAAAAGGGCUAAAUUUUUUCUGAGUAGAUUUUUCUUUUUUCUUUUUCUUUUCUCUCUCUCUCUCUCUCUCUUUUGAGACCUAGUAGUCUUAUAUUUUGUAGCUAAGUUUAUUUUCGAAAUGAAUGAAGCAGAUAGCUUGCUAUCUUUUUCUCAAAAAAAAAAAAAAAAAAAGCUUAAAUUGAAUCAGUCAAACCUAUCCCCUGCUGUGUAUCAGUUACAACCUCAAUUUUAAAUAUGUUGAAAGGCAAAUUGCACUAAUAAUCUCAACAAACUUCUAUUUUUAGUCCUCAAUUUUAAGUUUUCAAUAUUUGGGACUCGUGACUAUCCAUUCUAGUGCUUAGUUAAAAAAAGUAAAAAAUACAAAAAAUUACGAGCAAAUUAAGCUAAAUUGUAGAAAAGCUCCUUACAUAUGUUGGAUUUUACACUUUUUCUUCAAUAUUUAAACUAUCAGCCAAAUCAUUAUAUACUUUACAACCACUCGCACCAAUAUAAAUUAAGAAGCGAAAAAAGUUCUAAUAUCGUGUUAAAGAACUGAAUCUAAUCAAAACAAAGUCACGGUAAAGAUAACUCUCACAUUAGAUGUACUAUUUAAUAUUAUCUAAUAAUAUAACCAAACAAGUACUCUAUAGAUGAGCGUACAUGCUAUCAGAAGCAGUCGAUGAGCUUCCCGUGCCUUCCAAGUCGUUUUGACUGUUGCGACUUGCGAAUCGUCGAUCGACUCCGUUAAACUUGAUCUAGAGUAUUUGAAGUACCUAGAAAAUAAAUUUUAUGAUUUUACGAUAUCAUUUGCCUAGUGAACGAAGGAGCUCAAAAUCAACGGCUGAAAAUAAAAAUCUUACAAAAUAUAAUAAUAUGACAUUAAAAUUUUAAAUCAAAGAUAUUUAUCUUGUUUUAUAUAGUAUAAAGAAUUUUCUAUCAAAAUUUCACGUGAUUUGGAUAUUUCUACACCGUUAAACUUGCAAACGGCUCACUACGGCCAUUGAAAUUUGUUGAUUUUGAGCCCAUUCGAUCACUAGGCAAAUAAUAUCGAAAAAUAAUAAAAUUUAUUUUCUAGGUACUCCAAAUACUCUAGAUCAAGUUUAACGGAGCCGAUCGACGAUUCGAAAGUCGCAAUAUCGAAAACGAGUUGGAAGCACGGAAGGCUCCGUGCUUCCGAUAUCAUAGUAGCCUCACUCCUCUAAUAAUAUAAUUUUGUAUUUUGUAUUUCAAUUAUAUAUACUUUCCAUAUUGACCCUCACAUUACCCCAUAAAUAUUCAAAACAAAUAAAUCUACAAAAAUAUUUUUUUUUGAGAUAUUUUUGUAUCAUAAUGUUGCAUGUGCAUGUGCAUGUGCAUGACUUUUCAAAUUGCCUGGGACAAAAAUAUUAUAUGUUUGGGGACUUUGCGGAUCGGCGCCACGUGGUCGAUUCAAUGGUCACGGAUCUCAGUUGCUUUUUCUCUCUCUCUAAAAACACAGAAUUUUUUUUUUGUCUUUCCAUCCGUGGCCAUCGGAUCGGCCACGUGGCACCAAUUUGCAUAGUCCCAAACACAUGCCCAUAAAAUUUUUGUACAAUUGUCUGGGGGCCAUCCCAAUAAUUUUGCAGCCAACGCAUUCAAUGCGGUGACAACUUAAAUUUAAUUAUUGGAGCAAGAAAAUGUGAAACCCUUAAACUUUAAGCGACUUUGAAAUAGCUCCUCAAUAUGGUUUUUCCCUCAUUGCCAUGUUUUAUAUUAGUUUAGGGUGUGUUUAGUUCUACCUAAAAUUGUUCCAAUUUUUUUUUUUCGGUUGAAAAGUAAAAUCUCAAAACAGAACCAGAAACCAUAAUGUCGAAGCAAACAACAGAACCAGAAACCAUAAUGUCGAAGCAAGCUUAGCAAUUGGAUGCAGCAAACAUCCAUAUUUAUGCAAGUUAAGCAAACAAGAUAGCAAACUGCAGUGUUGCUAAAUCAUUUGCUUCCCACUUAUUAAGAUGAGCACAAUGUCGAAAAAAUAUUAUUAUUAUACUUUCAAAAAUACAAUUAAUUUAUUAUUGAUAAUGUGGUAUAAAUAUGAUACGGUAAAUUUUCUCAUCGUCAUUUGUUUGGACCGAUACGAUGUAAUCGGGAGGGGUACAACUUUCACUCUUACGCAAGAGUUAUUGCUGUUGAUGUGUUGUUUAUUGGGACAAAAGUUUUAUAGGCAUAGUGCUCAAACUAAUUAAUUUGGAGAUUAUGCGGACUGAUGCCACGUGGCCGAUCCGACGGCUACGGAUGGAAAAAAAAAAAAAAAAAAAUUCGUGAUUUUAGAGAGAGAAAAAAAAGCACGGAGAAUCCGUGCCCGUCAGACUGCCACAGGGCGGCCGUAUCCGCAUAGUGCCCAACCAAACUAAUUAAUUGAGCACUACAGCCCAUAAAAUUUUUGUCCGUUUAUGGAAUUAUUUUUUCAGGAGAAGAAUGACGCUAAUCUGCUACCAUAAUAAAGAGGGUGAAUUAAUAGCUACAAGGAUGAGGACAGCAACGUGUCACAGAAAGAGAGACAGAAAAAAAAACAACGAAAAAAAACAUAGGAAGGUAGUUUCGAUUACAAGACCCAAAGAAUGUUCCAAGAGUUUUAUUGGAAUGAUACGCGAAUCAUGUUUGCACAACGGGAGGAGGAGCAAAUAAGAGAGCAAGCAUAAAAAUUACAACGCGAUUCACGCUCUCUUAAAAUAUUAUAAAUAUUUACAAAAUACCUUUUAAGCGAAAAUAGUCCCAUCAAAACAUAUGUUGAGAGUUACAAAUAAGGACGUGUUUUGGUUCGCUUUUUUUUCGCGCCUGGAAUCAAACUUCGAAAUCGGAAUGGGUAAAUCACAUUUGUGGGUGUUGGUACGGCGGAGUGCCAUCCAAUUCCCGAUGCCCGAGUGGACAUGGAAUCCCCCAAUCACUCUCUUUUCAUUCCGCGGCUUAGGAGGCCGAAUUGAAAUUGAAUCCGACGGAAUGAUAUUUAAUUCGGAUUAAAUUUAUUUUUAAUUGUUUUUAAUUAAACAUAGAGUUAAAAUCAAAAUUAAAAAUAUAGUAAUUUUUAAAUUUAAUUUAAAACCUAAAUUAAAAUUAAAAUGUAAAUCAAAGUAUUUCGAAUACUAAACUUAAUGAAUUGAAUUUAAAAAUUAAAUUUUAAAAUUUAUAUAAAGUUUUAUUCAAAUUUAUUGCAACCCUAAAUUAAAUUUAUGAUUCAAAUUAAAAAUUUAAAUUUGUAAAUUUUAAGUUGAAUUUGAAUAAAUCUAAAUUUAUUUCAUAUUUUUAAUUCAUCACACUCACUUAAAGUUUAUUUUUUUAAAAAAAAUAGAUUUUAAAUUUGACAUUAUUCAAAUUUUGAUAUAAAUUUUAAUAUUUAAUUUUAAUUUGAAUUUAAAUUAUAUAUGAAAAGAUAAUGUUAGUAUAGUUAAUUGAUUACUUUUUAUAUCCACCUGAACCAAACACUGAAUAAGGAAUGAUUUAUGCGAUUCCGAUUCAAGGUAUUAAACCAAAUCAGGGAAUAGUAAGAGCAAUUAACAAUUCCGAUUCCAGCUUUUGGAUUCCGAUUACGCGAUUGCCGACUCCGAUUUUCGAACGACAAACACUGCCCUAUUACCAUUGACUUUUACCAUUGACUAUUAUAUAUCUAUUAAUAGUCGGCUUAAAUUUUUAUAGUGAUAUCAAUAAAAAGGGGGGCGACGAUAUUGCCCAGGCCAUUCAUUGAAGAGGACAUGACCCUACAUAUUUUUGAAAUGCCCUCUAAAUAUUUUAUGCAAUACAUUUAUAUCAUCAUGCAUCACAAUGAAUAAUUAAAAAUAAAAAUAAAAAUAAAAAUUAGAAUUAAAACUAAAAUUAAACUUUUAAUGUAAAUAAAAGUGCAAUCAAAUUUAAAUCUAAAUUUAAAUUGAAAUAAAUAAAACUAAUUCAACAUCUAAUUUGACAAGUAACAUUAGUGAAUUCUUAAUUGGAUUCAAUUGAAUUUUCAAAUUCGAAUUACAUUUGAGUGCAGCUAAGAUCAAAGUUUAAAUGAAAAUUGACCAAAUAAUGUAAGCUGAAAUGCAGCUAUUGCGUUACAAGUGCCUGGUAAUGCUUGAUAAGGAUAGUAAAGCGCGCUUCGACAGGUCACCCGUUGUUAGAUAUUAUGAAACGUAGCCUUGUCCACCCAACCGCCUGCACCCAUAGUCCGUAGUUUAAUAAUACAACAGCACAAUCGAGAACUUCUUUCUCCGAAAGAGAUACUAAUCCCUGCUUUGACUUGUAGAUCUCUUUCACUGUCGCAUAUUGCACUGAAGCCUGCAAAACCUAUGCAGAACAAAGUUUUACGUAGCAUAACUAACUAGAGACAAAGUUAUAUAAUGAUAUACGCAUGAACUAAGGAAACAUUCAAACUAACAUAAUUAACGUUAUUUGCAAGUACAGAGCGCUUUUAACUUGUUUAAGAUUUUGAGUGUUAUAAAAUUGUCACCUAAAAGAUAUUGGCGGUUUGAACUCUCAUACACGACAUGUUUCAAAAUUUAGAAAAUUAACUAGUAGAGGAAAAAGUACAGACUAGAGGAUCACAUUUCGGAAAUUCUGAAGAUGAUUUUUCGGCCAAUCCAGAUUCGCAGCACACAUUAGAACAAAAUAAUGAUUUGAACACUCUAACAAGAUAUAGCAGUGUUGCGCACUUUAAUAUGCACAAACAUAACUAUACGAAGUAUGUUGUAUACAUUAAAUUUACUAUGUCCAAAUAAUAGGUUAAAGAUGGAAUACGAAUGAGAUUGAUUUCUUUUUUUUCCGCUACAACUCAGUUAGGUUUUGUUCUUUUACAGUGGCGUCCGACCGCAAACAUACAUCAUACCGAUUAUAUACUCAGAUCCAAUUUUAUUCGAACCAGAUAAUAUAGAAUUUGUAAUGCACUAUAGUCCUAAAACCUUAAUUAGUUAGGCUAAAUAAGAAAAAUCCUCUUGUUAACCAUCUGUUUUCACUUCCUCCAUGCUGCAUUUAAAAAUCUAUAACCUUGCGCCCCCCUAAAAAUAAAAAAUAUUCAUAUUCGGUUCCUGCCGUCAGUUUCUAGUUGAGGUUCCAUUUCAUAUCUUAUUUUUGUAAUUCAAAAUAUUUCUGAAUUCUCAUCUACUAUCCACACACCAUGACCGCCUCGCUCUGCCCACUCCCCUUCAUAGCGUAGAUGCAUCCACGCCUGCUCUCUGCCGCCUGGAAUGACAAGAUUGGGGAACAGAAAUAAAGAAAAGUAGGAACAUUUGUUCAUCUUUAUCACACCAAUAUCAUUCUAUAAAUACGUUUUUAUUUUUCGAUAAAAAAAGCAAAGUAUCAUGAUUUUUUUUUAAAAAAAACAAGAAAAACGGCUUUGCUAAAGGUUUCAUAUAAUAGCCAUUUAAUUAAUGCGAGCAACAUUCGCAAACUGAAAAAUGCUAGAAUGCACGGUUAUAAUUAGUGACCGUACGCGGCAUAACAAACCAAUUACAUUAAUCCUUUUAAAAAUAUAUGUCCGCAUCAUGAAUGUAAAGAGUAUUUAUUGUACUUUAUUUUGAAAAGAUGAUAUGAUUGGCUUUUAUGAGACGUGGUGCAAAUGUGACAGUGAGAUUCCUCUUCCAAACAUAAGGCACGCCCUCAGCUCAAACAUUCCAAACUAGGUCCAAACGUUCUUCUUUUUUUAAAAAAAAGUUGAGUUUUGUUUUUAUUUUUUUGAUAAUUAGAUUAAAAUAUUAUAAGAUUUUUAUCAGAUUUUCCUGUGAUCCAUCAAAUUUAAACAGUUGACCAUUCUGCAUUGAACUUAAUAAUUACUAAAAUUCAAGAUAUAUUUAUCAAAUAUAUCAAAUAAAAAUUCAUAUAUUUACAUAGGCGAAGGUACGUAGGACGUAAUGCAUCCCAAAUGGAUUAACCAAGUUCAUCGCAUCGAAACCAAAACGCAUACUUAACAAAAAACGCGUCUUUUAUUUAGUAACUGCCAAAGAUGAAGAACCAUUUCGGUCAGAGAACACCUAAUAUUUUUAAGUAAGAUUCAAAAAACCUCCAUGUGAAUUCGUAGUUUCUCACUGUUGCCUCCCUGUGUUUAAAAUGUAUCAAUUGCUCCCCCGUGUUCUUUUUCUCUUUUUUAUCAUUGCAUUUAUUUUUUAUCUUAAUCAGUCUAAAGUUAAAAUAAAAGUAUAAAAUAAAUAUUUGAUAACUCUAGAUGGAUAUCUGAAGUUUUGUAUAUAAUUUGAUGAAAUAUUAAGAAAAACUACCAAAAAAUAAAAAUGAAACCACAGGGGGCAAUAUUGAUACAUUUUACACCACAGGGAGGUAAGUGAAAAACUACGAAACCAUAGAAGGGAGUUUUUGAAGUUUUUCUUUUAAAAAAAAAAAAUUAUUUAAAUAGACUAAUUUUUUUAAAAAAAUAUUAUUUAUUUAUGUAAUUCAAUGACUAUAAUUGUAAUAGAAUAAAUUUUCUCAUUUAUUGAAUAUUUUUUUAAAAAAAAUUUUUUUUUAUUGUAAAUUUUUGAUCCGUCUGCUGAUCUCCAUCUAUUAUGGUCAGAAUUGAGAGAAAGCUAGAUACACAAGCCAUUGCAUAAGUUACAGAUAUGGUGUGGCUCAGUCGAGUAGGUUAACGGCAAACCCUUAUUUCCACCCAUAGUUGGCCGCACAUACACAAGUUGCAUUGCAUAAAGAGACCAUGUGAUCCAUUUAUAGUACUAACCAAGGCACACUAGUCCACAUAAAUGAAGGACACAUCAUUAUAGAUUUCAAACUUAACAUACUGAUAGAGACACACCGGAAACAAAACAGAAACCCACAAUGUCGAAACAAGCUAGCACUUGAUGCACGCAAAAUCCUUAUUUAUGUAAGAAACGCAAAUAAGUAGGCAAACUAGCAGGUCGAAAAAAUCAUUUGCUGUUCCGACUUAUUACGUAGCUUCAAUUUCAGAAACCCAUCUUAAUAACUUCGGCAUUAGCCCUGAUUGGAAGUAGGAAUAGAGGAGACAUGCGAUUCCACAUACUCCAGAAGACGAUACACAACUCUGCCCAUAACGACGUAUCCACUUCUCCCCCCAUGACUGCCCCCACGAGUCCUUACUAUCUAAUAUUUUUAGUUCCACGGCUAUCAUGCCCGUACCUAUAAUGGUAAUGGCAUGAUUAGAGACUAGUUCACACAGGUCCGGCGCUAAACACAACCCCAUUGUAAAUUGAAAGUUUCACUGGCAUCGAUAAGAGCACUAUGUUGAUUCGACACAGCGCGUACAUAUGCUGCGUCAAUCGUUCCUUCGCACAUAUGAAUAACCAGUAAUGUAAGCUGAAUUAGAACAGCUAUUGGCGUUUGGCAAGUGCCAUUGAGCUAUGCUUGAUAAGGAUAGUUUUUCGUGGUCACACCGUUGUUUAUGAUAUGAUGAAAUCGAGGCCUUGUUCACGAAACCUAGCCGCCUUUGCAACCGCUACUACAGCACAUCGAGGAACUUCUUGCUUCCGAUAAAGAUACUAAGUUACCCCUGUUUUAUCUGUAGAUUCCCUCACCGUCGCAAUUGCACGAAUGACCAGCAAGAACCUAUGCCAAACAAAAGAUACGCGUUAGCAUAACGACGAAGCAAAGUUAUAUCUGAGAUGCAAUGAUAUAACGAAUAUCCUCACAACUCAACAAUAAUAUAAAUGUUUUUGGCAAUACAGACUGCUUUUAACUUUAUUUCAAACGGUUUGUCAAGGCAUAUGGAGUCCUGUUCUUUUUGACUACAACGACUUUGGCUUACUUUAUAUAACUGAUUAUGGCAUAACUCAAUUAAUAGUAAGAGAACUCAGCAAAUAGAGCUAAUUGCAAAUAGAUUGAAUCAAGUCGAAGCCUGUGAACAUUGUCCUUGAAUCCUUAAAUGCGAUGGAUGUGUCCUUUUUAUCACCAUGUAUGUAUUUUUGGAUAGUUAAUUAACACUUAUAUAUACAUUUGAUGGCUAAGUUGAUUUUUUAUUAACUAGAUUCAAUACUUCAUUUCUUUGUACAUUGAUAAUGUGUGAUUAUACAUGUUUAGACACUUUUAAUCAGCCAAAGUAAUGGAAUUAUUGAGUUUUAGUGGGCGGAAAUUUGGUCCUUUUGUCCAGAAAAGGCAGAAGGCAUUCGGUAGCAAGCAUAUUUGAUCUAAGCAACAUGUUAGCAGCAUCUUAUAAAGUUAACUAAGAAUAAUUUUUUUUUCUUUUUUCUAGUUGAAGAAAUGAAGUUGCAUUGACAAUUUAUAGUCUAAAUUAUUUCUUACCACAGGGGUUUUGAUUCUUGACCUCGUUUACGGCACCAUAGUCUCUCCAAUCAAUACUUUGAGGCACCGCGGAGAUGUUUACGUCAUCAAAUGACACCACUGGCUCUCUCUCGAUAUUUAGUGGGAGAGAUACGCCGGUAUAUUGAGCAACAAAUUCGCUUUUUGUCAUAUCGGUAAACUGAUUGAUACCGAGAGUGUACGAAUUUCCGUUGCGACUGUUAAAGGUUUCGAUAUGCUUCACGUUGUUCUUGAAUAUCUGAAACCGGCGCAUCUUCUCGUCGUUGUCCUUGUAAACUCGGCCAUACUCCGCCAUCCAUUCUUCAAACCGCUUCAUCAUGGGAUCACUGGGUUCGUCACGAGAAGCUGCCGAUGGCGAAGCCCACAUCACACAGAGAAACAUGAAAAGAAACACGAGUUGAACUUUGGAAGCCAUGCUUAUGUAGCACUAAAUAUGUAUGAGGAAAUUGGAGAUGGAGCUACAAGAGCUUUUGGUGCUGAGAGUAUGGUGUCAAGAUCGAGUUUAUAUAGAAGUUCAUGCCUUGGAAUGUAGGUGCGAGAAUUAUUGUGUGGGGGCCUACAAGAUGUCACAAAUCGCCAUCAAAUUAAGAUUAAAUAGUUCUGGACCGCUUGCGGCACCACGUCAUGUGGUCACUAGUGUAGUGAUUUGCUUAUUACGUCGGGCAAAUACUAUUGACAUAAAAAUUGGUACAAAAUAAAAUAUCAGUUUAGUAUGAAAAAAUAGUAAAUAUAGUUUAUAUUAUAAACAAACACUUCUAAACAAAAUAAAACUAAAAUGAAAAAAAAUUAAUCAUUCCAAUAAAAUUAUUCAAGCUUGUUAAAAAAAAUCGCAUAUCAUACAAAUGGAUGAUUAAAAUUAUUUUUAACUUGGGAUGUCUCCACCAGAUGGAUGCGAGGCAGAGACUCAUUGUCAGGAGCAGCAAGAGCACUUUUCGACUUAUGCUUUGUUGGAGCUUGUUGGGAACUUUGGAAGGAACGGAAUUCACGGAUCUUUUAGCAACCAACACUCGACGUACGACGAACUAGGAAGGAUUGUUGUUUCCAUCGUAAAGUUCUGGGAAUCUAUUUUGGGGUCCUAAUUGUGAAUCGUUUUGUUUGUUUUACCCUGUUAAUUAGUGGUCCUGUUCUGUUAAUUAGUGGUCCUGUUGUGCUUUCUGAAGUUAGCUCAAGGGGCCUUCUUAGGGAAAGCCAAGCUAGCUCUGCUAUCUUAAGAUGUAUUCUCUGUUUCAAAUAUAGUAUAUUCCUGUUUAAUCAAAAAAAAAAUAUUUUUAUAAUACAAUAAUCAGAUAAAAUAUCAUAUAACAGUUGAUAUGACUAAAAAAAACUCACAAUAACUGACCGUUCCUAGAGCAAGUGGCAAAGGGCUUGGUGAUUGGUACCCGAGGUCCCAAGUUCGAAUCCUAGUUGAUUCACAUUUCCAGCUAAGUUUAUUUCUAAAUGAAAUAAACGAAGCGGGUAGCAUGCUACCUAUCUAAAAAAAAAAAAAAAAAAAAAACUCACAAUUAUACGCAAGACAAAUACUAUAUAUAUAAACAUAUGUAAUUCGGUCUAUCGACAGACUAUUUUUUAGCGGAAAAAAAAAUGAUUCACUUCUUACUAAAAUAAAUAAUGUAAUGAAAAAAACUUUUAAUACUUUUUAUCAUCUAAAAUAGAAAAAAAUAUACUUAUUCAAAAUUUUGUCAACCGAAAGAUAUUACUAUAAAUCUAUAUUUUAAUUCAAAAUUAUUUAAUAUUUUUUUAUCUCUAAAAAUAAAAAAAUUCAUACUAUUCAAAUUUUUGCUACAAUAUCUAAUGUAAAUCUAUAUUUCAAUUCAAAAUUUAAAAUUAAUUUAAAAUUUAAAUUUAAAAUUUGAGAACUAUCAACAUAUUAAAAUAAUUUUAAAUAUUUUUUUUUCCAUAUUAUAGUGAACGAUUAUACUUAAUUACCAUUAGAAAAUAAAGAAGUUACCUUAAUUUAUAUGAUUUUACUCCAACCACUUUCAUCUACUAGCAUGCUCCAGUUCCCAAAUGUGUCUAAAUUAGAAGACAAUCCAAAUAUGAAAGCGACGAUUAGAAGUUGACAACUAAAGUUAAUUUAAUCGUUAAACUUCAAUUUACUCUCCGCUGAUUUUAGCUUAUUUUUUUAAAAUUUGAUUUUUACUGUAGUUCAAAAUUGCCUUAAUUAUCAUAUAAUUUUAUUUUUAUUUUACCGAUAGAAUUUGACAUAAGUUAGCAAAGUAAAUUUUUUUUAAAAAAAAUCAUAAAGUGAUAUCUGCUUACCAAUAAAUUCUUACAAUAAAAUAAAAAUAAUAUUAGUAAAAUAGUUAAGUAUGUAUAACUUUUCAAACCACGUAAAAAGUGAAUUAAAAAAUAUUAAACAACAGUAAAAAAAUUAAAAUUACUCGAUCCCAAUUCAUUCAUUUUCUUCAUCCAAAGAUUCUACAAUCUCAUUCUCUCAACGACAUUCGAGUGCAAAUUAAACAUAUACAUGUUACACCAAAAGUCAAAUCAGGCAUUAUAAUUUUUUUAAUAUAUAAAUUUUUAAAACUUUAUAAAAUUAUAUCAAAUAAAUUAAAUUUUAAUUUCAAAUUUUUUAGAGGAAAAGAUAAUUAGUUACACAUUUUGUUCAUUUUGAGAUUUUUUUUUUCCCCAAGUAAAACCUAAUAAGUGAUGUAGUGCCGGCAUGCAUAUGCUGAUCCUUGAAAAUUUUUAAGUAUCGUUUGGUUUGGAAAUAAGCAAAAAGUGGUUAUUCCAGGAAUAGGUAUAAAUUGAGGUAUAAGUAGGGGUUAUAUCAAUUUUGAGUUUGGAUGAAAAUUAGAUUUUUUUUUUUUUAGAAUAAAAAAAAAGUAUUUGGUUAGGUAAGAUGUAAUAAAAAUUUAAAUGGAUAGUUAUAAAUAAAAAAUAAUGAUGUUAUCAUUUUCUUUAUAUUAAAAUUUGAAAUUUGAAAUUUUAUAUUUAUAUUUUAGAAUAAAUAUAAACUUUUAAAUUUUAAAAUUUCAAAAUCUCAAAUUUACAAUUUUAAAAAUUUAAAAUUUAAAUUUUAAACUUUAAAAUUAAAAUGAAAUUUUAAUUUAAAAAUACAAAAUAUCAAAUUCUAAAUAUAAAAAAUUUAAAAUAUCAAAUUUUAAAAGUUAAAAUUAAACAUGAAUUUUUUUGUGUUUGGGGGAGCACGACGAGGGGGGACAGAGGAGCGAAGCGGAGGGGCGGGGGGUGAGGUGGUGGGUGUAUCUGCGUGUGUUGUGUUUUUAUAUAUGUAGGUGUAUUUUUUUGAUUUGGUUUAUUUAAAUUGUUGCAAUUAUUUUUUAAGUUACGCCUAUGGAUAACAAUACUGCGCCAAUUUAAAAAAAUUCUUUAAUUUGAUGGUCUGGCAGUAUGUCACAUUCUCGAUUGUUCGUAGCGUGUGCUUAUCAAUAUAACGACUACAUUUUAAGGACUAUCGUCUUAGGGUAUAACGGUGAGAAUAUCUCACAACUCAACGAGNNNNNNNNNNNNNNNNNNNNNNNNNCAGACUUUAUCAAAUUUAAUUUUAAUUUAAAAAUUUUAAACUAUUUAUGUGAUGUAUGCGGAUGAUGAAAAUAUUGAUAAAUAUCUAGAGGCAUUUUCAAGAAUUUGAAUAUCAACUAUAUAAAAUUUAUGAGACUCAAGUGAUAUAUAACAGGCAAUGGUAGAAUAAGUAUUUUGUAACUAUCACGAUUAUUUUGGAUUGAGACUAAUCGUUUAACGUGAGCCUUAAUUGACGGUAUAAAUAAUUUAUGAGAUUUUUCUUAUCACUCCUCCUCCUCCGUAUGCGCAACACGUGCUCCGGUAAUAAUUCCAAUACACAACACAUCCUGCAGUAACUCUUGUUACGGAGUGAAGGUUUGUCCGCCCCCUCAUUCUGAUUGCAUCUGUCAACGAAAAGGACGAACAAAUGCUUUCUAAUAAUAUAGGUACCUGCCGUUAUCUGUCCUAAAUAAAGGUUUUAUAGCUUUGCUUGCGAAAAUGUUUACUAUAUCAUACUUACAUCGCAUCACAAUAAUAAAUAUAUUAUAUAAUUUUUAAUAUAUAAUAAAAUUUUUUUAUAUUAUUAUAAUAAAUAAAUUUAAAAAAUUCUUAAUUUGAUUGUGGAGAUGUCACUUAUCAAUAUAACGGAUACAUUUAAGACUAUGUUCGGUUAGGGGAUAAGGUGGAAUUUAUUCACCCUCAUCCCCAAACACAAAAAAAUUCUUUUAAUUUUACUUUAAAAUUUGAUAUUUUAAUUUUUAUAUUUAGAAUUUGAUAUUUGUAUUUUAAUUAAAAUUUCAUUUUAAUUUUAAAGUUUAAAAAUUUAAAUUUUAAAUUUUAAAUUGUAAAUUUGAGAUUUUGAAAUUUUAAAAUUUAAAAGUUUAUAUUUAUUCUAAAUAUAAAUAUAAAAUUCAAAUUUCAAUUUAAUAUAAAGAAAAUGAUAACAUCAUUAUUUUAUUAUACUAUACCAUUUAAUUUUAUUACAUCAUACUAACCAAUACUUUUUUUUUAUUCUAAAAAAAAAAAAAUCUAAUUUUUCAUGCAAACCAAAAUAUGAUAUACCCCUUACUUAUACCUCAAUUAUAGCUAUUCUCUGGAAUAACAUUUUGAUUAUUUCCAAAGCAAACGAUACUAAAAAUUUUCAAGAUCAGCAUAAUGCAUGCCGCACUACACUUAUUAGUUUACUUUGGGGAAAAAAAAAAUCUCAAAAUGAACAAAAAUUUAACUAAUUAUUUUCCUAAAAAUUAUGAAAUUAAAAUUUAAUUUUAUUUGAUAUAAUUUAUACCAGUUUAAAAAUUAUAUAUUUAAAAAAUUAUAAUGCCUGAUUUGACUUUGGUGUAACAUGUAUAGUUGUAUAAUUUGCACUCGAAAUGUCGUUGAGAGAAUGAGAUGUAAAUCUUUGGAUAAGAAAAGAAAUGAUUGGAUCGGUUAAUUUAAUUUUUACUGUUGUUUAAUAUUUUUAAAUUCAUUUUACGUGUUGAAAAGAUAUACAACUUAACAUAUUACUAAUAUUAUUUUUAUUUUUAUGUAGGAAUUAUUGUUAAGCAUGCUACACUUAUGAUUUUUUUUAAAAAAAUUACUUUCUAACUUAUGUAAUUCUAUGGGUAAAAUAAAAAUAAAAAUUAUAUAAUUAAGUGCAAACUUUCGAACUGCAGAAAAAACAAGGAACAAUCUACUAAAUCAGGGAGAGUAAAUUGAAGUUAACGAUAAAUAACUUUAGUUGCUAACUUCUAACUCGGCUUUCAUAUUUUUGGAUUUGUCUUCUAAUUUAGACACAUUGGGGAACUGCGAGCAAUGCUAGUAGAUGAAAGUGGUUGGAGUAAAAUCAUAUAAAUUAAGGUACAACUUCUUUAUUCUAAUGGAUAUAAGUAUCGUUCACUAAUAUGGAAAAAAAAUAAUUUUAAAUAUUUUAAUAUGUUGAUAGUCCAAAAUUUAAAUUUAAUGUUAAUUUUAAAGUUUUGAAUGGAAAAUAUAGAUUUACAUUAGAUAUUGUAAAAAACAUUUGAAUAAGUAUGAAUUUUUUUAUUUUAUAGAUAAAAAAUAUAAUAUUUGAUUAAAAAUAGAUAUUAUAGUCAAUAUCAAUUCGGUUGACAAAAUUUGAGAUAAGUAUAUUUUUUCUAUUAAGAUAAAAAGAUAUAUAAAAGUUUGUUUCAUUUACAUUAUUCAUUUACGUAAGGAAGUAAAUCAUUUUUUUUCCUGUAAAAAAUACGGUCUGUGAUAAAUUAGAAAUAUGUUGUAUCUUGCGUAUAUAUAAUGUAGUUUUUUUUUUUUUUUUUUGAUAGGUAAGCAUGCUACCAUCGCUCGUUAUUCAUUAGAAAUAAACUUAGCGGAAAUGUGAAUCAACUAGUCGAACUUGGGACCUCGGUACAAUCAUCCCAAGCCCUUUGCCACUUGCUCUAGGAACGGUCAUUAUUGUGAGUUUCUUUUAGUCAUAUCAACUGUUAUAUACUAUAUUUUAUCUGAUUAUUGUAUUAUAAAAAUAUUUUUUUUUGAUUAAAACAGGAAUAUAUAUAUUUGAAACAGAGAUACAUCUUAAGAUAGCAGAGCUAGCCUUGCUUCCCUAAGAAGUCCCUUGGACUAACUUCAAGACAACAUGACCACUAAUUUAUAUUAAUCGAACAGGACCACAUUAACAGGGUAAAACAAACAAAAACGAUUCACAAAUUAGGACCCAAAAUAGAAUUCCCAGAACUUAGAUGAAACAAACAAUCUUCCUGAUUCGUCGUAGCGAUGUUGUUUCUAAAGAUCUUAUUCCGUCUCAAAGUUCCCAAACAAGCUCCAACAAGAGCAUAAGUCGAAAAGUCGCAUCUUCUGCCCUGACAAUGAGUUCUCUGCUCGAUCCAUCUUGUGGUAGACAUACUCAGUUAAAUAAUUUUAAAUCAUCCAUUUGUGAAUCGAAGCGAUUUUAAUCAAUUUAAAUUUUAUUGGACAUAUAUUUUUUUCAUUUGUUUUAUUUGUUUAGUAAGGUUUGUUUAUAAAUUAAAUAUAUUACUAUUUUUUCAUACUAAAAACUGAUAUUUAUUUUUACAAUUUUUAAUGUCAAUAUAAUUGCCCGACGUAAUAAAGCAAAUCACUACACUAGUGACCACAUGCGUCGGGUGCCGCAAGCGGUCCAAACUGAUUUAACUAAGUUUUGAUGCGAUUGGUGACAUCUUGGUAGCCCCACACAAUAAUUCUCGCACCUACUUCCAAGGCCAUGAUACUUCUAUAGUAAACUCGAUCUGACACAUACUCUCAGCACCAAAAGUCUUGUAGCUCCAUCUCAAUGUUCACCAAUACAUAUUAGUUGCUACAUAAGCAUUGGCUCUCCAAAGUUCAACUCGUUGUUCUUUUCAUGUUUCUCUGUGUGAUUGGGCUUCGCCAUUUUCGUCAGCUCUCGGACUGAACCCUAGUUGUAUUCUCCAUAUGAUUGUAACGGUUAUAAUUUGAGAUAUGGAUGGCGAGUAUUGGCGAGUUUACAAGGACAACGACGAGAAGAUUGCUCGCGUUUCAGAUAUUUCAGUAACAAGCGUGGAAGCAUUAUCGAAACCUUUACACAAGUUCGCAACAGGAAUUCGGUACACUCUCGGUUCAAUCAGUUUACCGAUAUGACAAUAAAGCGAACUUUGUUGCUCAAAUAUUAACUGGCUAUCUCUCCCACUAAAUAUGAGAGGAGAGCUAGUUGUGUCAUUUGAUGGACGUAACACAUCUCCGCGGGUGCCUCAAAGUAAUUUGAUUGAGAGAGACUAUUGGUGCCUAAACGAGGUCAAGAAUCAAAACCCCUGCUGGUAAGAAAUAAUUUAGACUAAUAAUUUCUGCAACUUCAUUUCUUAACAGAAAAAAGAAAAAAAAUUAUUCUUAGUAACUGUUAUAAGAUCUGCUAACAUGUUGCUUAGUUUUUUAUUCUUCCCGAAUGGCCCCUUCUGCUUUCUGGACAAAAGGACCAAAUCCGCCCACUAAUUUUCUGCUGAUAAAAGUUCUAAACAGUAUAAUCAUUUUUAUUUCAAUGUACAAAGAAAUGAAGUAUUGAAUCUAGUUAAUAAAAAUCAUCUUAAGCCAUCAAAUGUUAUAUAAGGUAAUUCACUAUCCAAAAAAUACAUUUUGGUGAUACAAAAGGACACUUUUUAUCCAUCGCUUUUAAGUGAUUCAAGACAUAUGUCCUACUUCGACUUGAUCAAUCUAUUUGCAAAUUAGCUUAUGCUGUGUUUUUUACUAUUAAUUAAAGUUAUCAUUUAAUCAUACCUACUAAAGUAAGCAAAGUACGUGUUAGUUCAAAAAACAGGACAUCAAUGCUGAAACCGUUUGAAAACAUUUUUUAUAUCAAGCAGCUCUGUACUAAAUUUUAAUUAUGUUAGUUAUUUUAUAUUCAUAGCAACUCAGAUAUAACUUUGCUACUUUUUUUACGCGUAUCUUUGUUUUAGGCAUAGGUUCUGCUGGGUCAUCGCUGCAAUUGCGACGGUCGCGAUUGGGAUAUUCUACAAGAAAAACAGGUAUUAGUAUCUUUAUCGGAGCAAGAAGUCUCGAUUGUGCUGUUUUUAUUUUGGCGUGUGGUAUACUAUGCUUAGCUGUGUAUUCAUAGUUCUGAAUCAUCUUUCACAGAUCUGAAUUUAAAUUUUAAAUUUGAAUUCAAAUUUUGAACUUAAAAUUGUAAGUCAAUUUUAAAUCUAAAUUAAAUUUGAAAUUCAAAUUCAAAUUUAUAUUUUGAAUUUGAAUUUCAAAAUAAAACUUUGAAAUUAAAUAUAAAACUAAUUAAAAAUCUAAAUUCACUACAUGCAAGAUAAUUAAAUUAUGGGGACAUAUGUUUGGAAUAUUUUUAUAUAAGUGCCCUAUUUAUGUCAAAACUUUAAAAAUAAUCUAUUAAUGCCUAAAUAUAAAGCCCAAUCCAUUCUCCGGUAAACUAAGAUUAUCGGACCAAUUUUCAUAUUGUAAUGAAUCGAUUGUAACCUAAUUCUUAUAGUCCAUUAAAAAAUAAAAAAGUGAAUAUUUAAAUGAUUUUACAGUAGUUCUUAAGUUAGAAGACGACCCAAAAUAUGCAAUGGCGGAGUUCGGAGCUGGUAACUAAAGUUAAUUUAAUAUGUUAACUUCAAUUUACCCCGUGAUUAAGUAGAUUUUUUCCCUUUUUCCUCCGAUGCUUCAAAAAUUCGCCGACAGAACCCAACGUCAGUUACCAAAGUGAAUUUUUUUAAAAAACUUAUAGCAUACUAUGCUCUUUAACAAUAAAUUCUUACAAUAAAAUAAAAAUAAAAUUAUAGAAUACUGAAGUAUAACUCUUUAAGCCAUUGAAUGACAAAAAAAAUAUAUAUAUAUAUAUAUUAAACCACAAUGAGAAAAAUUGAAAAUUAUCCUACUUUUUAGUUCAUCAUACUAACUCCAUACCUACAAGCUCAUGUAUUACACCAAAAAUCAAACCAUCAUGUAUUAUAUAUUUUUUUAAUAUAAAAAUCUUUUAAACUCUAUAAAAUUAUAUUACAUUAAAUUAAAUUUUAAUUUAAAAUUUUUGGGAGGAAAAGAUGCAGUUUUCAGUUUCGUUCAUUUUACGAUUUUCUUCUCUUUUUUUCCUUUUUGAAGUAAAACGUAGAGACUUGGUGUAUCCUAAUGUUCAUGCGAUGAAAUCAUUAAUUUCUCUCUUGUCCAUUAAUUUUUUGAGAGAAAGGUACCUGCUUUAUUCAUUAAAGAAAAAAUUAAACUACACGAUUAAGAUAAAGGAAUCUCCGAAGUAGACCGAAAAAAUGAAAAAAAAAAUAAUUAAAUUUACAAAAACAUAUAACAAAAAAAAAUUUAAAAAAAAGGAUAUGCUCGUUUAAACACUCUAUUCUUCUCCCACUGAAGCAUCAAACAUCUGAUCGAUUUGACAGCUAGUAAAGAAUUAGUAUUAGCCAAUCUAUAAAUAACGGUGUUUCUUACUGUUCAGAUAACUCACCAAUUUUUUUUUUUGAAAAAGAUAACUCACCAAUUGACUGUGAGUUUUGUAAAUCUGUUUCUAACAUUCUGAGCACUAUCCCUUCCCAUGCUUCCACUUAUCCCAUACUAACCUCUCUUGUCCUUUGCUGGAUCGGAAAGUUGCAAUCAAGUUUGUCCGUUUCUCUCCCUGUUGGAGAGCAGUCAGAUUUUUUUUUUUUGGUGCACCCGGUGCACUAGUUUUGUUUUAAAAUUUUAUUUUUUGUUUUUUAAUUAUAAUUUAAUAAUAUAUCUCAUGAUUUUAAAAAUAUAUGUAAAAUAAUUUAGAAUUUAGGAUUUAAAAUUCUUUUGCAUAUAUUUUUUAAAUAUCAUAAAAUAUAUAUCUGUUAUAUGAAAUUAAAAUUAAGAUUAAAAUUAAAAUUUUAAAGUAAAAAAUGAUGCACCGGUGCACCGAAAAAAACCCGCUGUGUCCCGAGAGGCAGAGCAGUCGGGACGGUGGCCCGCGUGGCUCGGGUGCCAUGCGGCGCCCAUCCAGUGUCCUCAAAAAAAAAGGAGAAUUAAUGGGUGGAGCCCAACAAGUUGGUACAAAUCGCCAUUAAAUUAAGAUUAAAUAGUUCGGGACCGCUUGCGACACCAUGUCAUGUGGUUAUGAGCUAAUCACAAAAAUAUUUAAGUUUCUCUACUUGUCUCAUAUUUAAAUUUUAUAAUUUUUUUUAUAGGACAUACAAUAACGAAAUAGAUCUGGACCCUGUUAAAGAUAAAAAUAUAUAAACAUUAUUCUCUAAAAGUUUAAGCUUUUAGUAUCGUUUGGUUCGAGGAUAAGCAAAAAGUGACUAUUCCAGGGAUAGGUAUAAAUUGAGGUAUAAGCGGGGAUUAGAUCAAUUUUGCGUUUGGAUGAAAAUUGGAUUAUUUCUGAAAAUAAAUAUAAAUAAUAUGUAUUAAUAUAGUACAAUUAAUAAUUUUAUAAUAAAAAUAAUGUAUUAUAAUAUAUAACAUAUUAUAUUUAUAUAAUUAGUUUUAAUUCAAUUUAUAAUUUUAAUUAAAUUUGAAAUUAAGCAUUAGAAUAGUGCUAUUCCACCAAAAUGGUGGAAUAGCAAAUCCCUUGCUAUUCCGGAAUAACCGGAAAUAGCAAGGUUUGACCGGGAUAAAAUAUCCCGGCCAAAUUUCAUCCCAUUUGGCGGAAUAGCGGGGAUAACUUUUGUUAUCCCCGCUUAUCCCCCAACCAAACGGGGCCUUAAGGAAUUCACAUUGUGAUUGUUUGAUUGAUGGAUGGCCAUUACAUUGAAAUUGGUCUAUGCACUCUGUUUGGUUAAAACUAUUUGAGUAGUUCUCAUCAAGAAUCCCUACACAUUUUUUUUAUUAUAUUCAUUUCCUACUUUUAUUCUAUCUCUCCACACACACACACACACACACACACACACACACACCCCCUUCCCACCACCCCCUCCAAAUUUGGCUGAUAUUAAUGAAAAGGAAUUAUAACUAGUUGAGAGGAGAUUUUCGGCACUUUAGAAAAUAAGUGUGUAUGUUUGCUCUACCGUGUUAAUUUACUGAAAUUACUGUCAUUGUACAGGGUUAUGUGUAAUUCCAGUUGUAAGAACCUUUAGAACACAUCAACUUGUGUCAUACGUUGUUACGCCUUUUUGACAAAACGUAGGAAUAUUAUUUGAGUAGAGGUAUUUGAAGAAGUUGCAAGAUGUGUUUGUUUAGAGUAUUGUAGUUCCAUGGAUAGGAAAUAAGGAUAGUUUAUCCACUAUAAGAGGGCAAAGGGAAUUAUCUAGGCUAAUGGUUCCUUAUGAGAGUAGCAUAACUCCAUUCUAGCGUACAGUUUGAUAUCUCCUACUUAGUUCUAGUUGGGAAUUUAUCAAACUCAAAAGUACUUAACAGGAUAGCAGGGAUAUUGCCAUUAUCUUUCCAACUUGCAAAUGCUGAAUGUAAAUAUACUUGGCAUGGAGUUGAACAAAAAAACUUUUAAGUUAGACCAGCUUUUUAGGGAGCUCUUUUAGUCUUCGCACUAUGCUAGGAGCUCUAGAUUUUUUUUCUGUUUGCUAAACGUCUGACUUUUGCUUCUUGAGUAGAAUAACUUUUUUAGAAGUCAAACCAAUUAGGUAGUAUAUACUUUUGCAUAUGCUAACAAAAGUAUGUAUUCGAAAAAUAUUUGCUGAGCUAACCUGUGACAUUAGGAUGCUAGCACAAGUAUCACUGCUGUAUAUGCUGNCUAAUUCCUACUUAAUUACCAUUAGAAAAUAAAGAAGUGUACCUUAAUUUAUAUGAUUUUACUCCAACCACUUUUCAUCUACUAGCAUGCUCCAGUUCCCAAAUGUGUCCUGAAUUAGAAGACAAUCCAAAAUAUGAAGAGCCCGAGUUCGUUUCUUCAAAAAAUUUUCGGAAUUUUUGUAGAUUUAUUUGCGAAUUUUUCGGACAAAAAAAAUGGCUUAAUCUAAUUUAUUCUUUUUAUUUUUUUGGAAAAAUACGUAAACAGCCGAUUAAUUCGUUUCUUCAAAAAUUCGCGAAUUAUUCGCGAAUUUACUAUCUAAGCCUAUCGCUCUCAAAAACAAAAGAAAAAAAAAGAAUUUUUAUCAGAGCAUGUGUUGCACAACGGGCGGAGGAGUGAUAAGAAAAAUCUCAUAAAUUAUUAAUACUGAUAGUUACAAAUAUCUUUAUUAAAUUAUUAUAAAUAUUACAAAUAUCUUUAUUAAAGCGAUUAGUCUCUAUCCAAAAUAAUCGUGAUAGUUACAAAAUACUUAUUUUAUUAUUGCCUAUUAUAUAUCAUUUGUGUCGCUUAAAUAUUCUAUAGCUGAUAUUCAAAAUUUUUCAAAAAUGCCCUCUAGAUAUUUUAUCAAUAAUUUUCAUCAUCACGCAUACAUCACAUAAAUAAUUUAAAUUUUAAAAUUUAAAAUUAAAAGUAAAAAUUUAAAUUUAAAUUUAAAAUUUGAUAAAGAUCUGAAUUCAAAUUUUAAAUUGAAUUCAAAUUUUGAACUUAAAAUUGCAAGUCAAUUUUAAAUAUAAAUUUAAAUUUGAAAUUCAAAUUCAAAUUUAUAUUUUGAAUUUGAAUUUCAAAAUAAAACUUUGAAAUUAAAAAUAAAACUAAUUCAAAAUCUAGAUUGAAAGUAAAAUUAGUAUAAAAUCUUAAUUCGAUUUCAAUUGAAUUUGAAUUAUAUUCGAAUCCAAAAUCAAAAUUUAAAUUUUAAAUUUAUAAUUAAAAUUAGAUUAAAUUAAUAUUACAAUUCAAUAUUAUAAUGUAAAUUUGAGUGAGUCUAAGAUCGCAGUUUAAAUUGAAAAUUGAAUUAAAAAAUUCUAAUUAUAAAUUUUGGAAAUAUUUAGAGAUAAAAUGAUAUUUUAAAAUUUAAGUAGCAUUAAACUAGCUUCCAACUAAGAUUAGGAUAACACUCCGUGACGUGAGUUUACAUAAGAAAUAUUUAUGAUAUAACUCAUUCUAUUGGAAGAGCGUAUAUGAUAUUUUAAUAUUUUUAGAGGUGCCUGUGAUAGUUUAAGAUUUUGAAAAAUAGUUAUGAAACUGUCCCUGCAUUUCAAAAUUUGGAAAACUGAUCUCCCUGACUUGCGGAUUUCAUGUAGUACAAUUUUUUGACGGUGUUCUUAAUGCAAGUAACAAAUUAUAAGCAACUUUAAAGGAAAAAAAGUUACAUAUUUUUAGGGAUCGUAUUUUGGAAAUUUGAGGAUGAGUUUUUAGUUGUCCAGGUUUCACGCUUUGAUAAAUAAUAUGAUCAGAAGAAUCAUAAAUGGCGAUAGCUUACGUUUACCUACUUUUAUUAGAUAUAUAGUUUAAUAUAUUCUUUUUCCGCAUAAAAUUACUAAUUAAAUAAAACCAAUUGAUGCUCAAACUCUCUCUUCCUAUGGAAUAAAAAUAAAACAUAAAAAAGGAUAAAUUACGCUUUUGGUCCUCAAACUAUAAGAUAUAUGACACUUUAGUCUUCAAACUUUAAUGUGUUAUAAUAACUUAUGGCUCAAAGUAUGAGACACGUGACACUUUAGUCCUUAAAUUUUAAUUAGUUGUAAUUUCUGACUUACACUAAAGUUAAUUAAUUUAUUUAUUUCUACGAAAUCGAUCGGUUUUGUUCAAUCAGUAAUUUUAUUCGAUGUUAAACUAUAUAACAAAUUUUAUAAUGUCUAAUUGUUAAAAUUAAAAAUCGACCAAUCAUAUUUUAAAUAUUAAAAAAAUUAUAGAUGCAAAAUUGAUCUUUGAUCGGAUUGUAAUAUAAUAUUAAACUUUUAUAAUAAAAUCGUAUAAAAUUUGUCUAAACUAUAAACCAUUCUGAAUCAUCUAUUCAACCUUUUAAAAUUUUAUUCUUAUUAUCGAACUAUUCGAUACGUUAGAUUUUAAAAUUUAUAUAUAAAAGGUUUAUAUAUUUUAAAUUUUAUAAUAAAAGCCCGCCACGCCUCUCUCCCCCGGCCCCGCCCCAGCGUCUGCGACGUGGCUCAUAAGAGACAAUUGAAAUUAUUUCGGGGACCAUCCGAGUUAUUUUGCAGCCAAGGUUGGACGUGGAUUAAUGCGGCGAUAACUCAAAUUACCAUUACCAUACUAUAAAUCCGAGCAAGAAAUGUAUGGAACCCCCUGAACUAUAUGCCACUAUGAAAUAGCGCCUUCAAUCUACUUUUGUUUUUUCCCAUUUCGUGUUGAGUGAUUUUGGUGACUCACAGUAAUUAUGAUAAUUUUAUCAUAUUUAAUUUAUUUAGUUUACAUACUACGUACAAUUGGCAGUUUGUGCAACAAUUAAUCUAUUCAGCUUAUUUUAUUCAGCUUGUUUUAUUAUACUAUAUAUGUUGAGUAUCACAACGAUGAUCUUCUAGCUUAUUUUCACGAAACUUUGCAUCGGAAUUUAAUAAUCGUUUUAAAUAUUUUUUAACUUCUUAGAUUACGGUGGUAUUAAAGUGCAUUACCAUAUAUUUUUUUUUUGAGAAAAAAAUUUUAUNCAUUCCGUGCGUCUGUGCUAGCAGUUCUUGGCAUGACUCCAUGCCACUCCAUAAAUCCUUGCUUUUGUUGUUUACAAGGCUAAACUUCAAAAUCGGCACUGUGGUAUAGUGCAUUUUCGCGUUGGUGCACUAUGGAUUCUUUUCUAUCACAUAGGUGCCCUGAGUUUGGUAUUGAAAUUAUUCCUCAAGGACCUUUUUUCUAGCCCUGUUGGUAUUUGUGUGUGUUUCCAGUUCAAAUCGUUGUUGGCUCGGUUUUUUUAAGUCUAAACUCAACCGAGAACCCGAAUGCAAGCCCAUCUUAUAAGGGGUUUCUGAUUAAGUUUGAAUCAGAACACGACCUAAGCCCUGACCUAACACGACCCAACCUGUUUAUAUAUAUAUAUAUAUAUAUAUAUAUAUAUAUAUAUAUAUAUAUAUAUAUUCCAGUCAAUCUAUUUCUAGCAUACUGAGCACUAAUCCCUUCCGAUGCAUCCACUUAUCCCAUGCCAACCUUUCUUGUCCUUUGUUGGAUCGGAGAGUUGCAAUCAAGAGUGGGACAACUUUUCACUCCGUCCGCAAGAGUUGUUGUCGCUGCGCUUGCACCUCAUUUAUUGUUGUUGUAUGAUUGAAAUUAUUUAGGGCAUGUGUGGCACAACAUGAAUAAGAAUAAGAGUUUAUGCACAUAAAUUUAUAUAUAUAUAUAUAUAUAUAUAGAGUCCGGCUACUAUACUCUUAUGAGUAUGAUUGUCCUCGUACUUAUAAGUUGUUUUCGAUGAUAGAGCUUCCGAAUCGACGAUCCAUACUGUUAAAUAUUAUUUAGAGCAUUUAAAACGUAUAGAAAUUAAAUUUUAUAAUUUUUCGAUAUCAUUUACCUUACAAUCAAAAGGUCACAAAAUUGACAAUUUUUAACGGCCGGUAUGAAAUAUUUGUUAGUUAAACAGUAUAAAAGAAUCAAAAUAAGUUGAUUUUUUGAUAGAAAAUUCUAUUCAGUAUAUAGAUAAAGAUCAAUAGCUCCGAUCUUAAAUUGAAGGAUCCGAUCAUAAAUUUUUAAGACGUCGUUCGAUUUUGACAAUUCAUUUUAUACCCGCUUGAUGAACUUUAUUAUGAUUUCAAAAAAUUACGAAAUUUAUUUUCUAGAAAUUUUAAUAAACUAUAUUUAACGGAAUGGAUCGUCGAUUUGGAAGCUACAUCAUUGAAAACAACUUAUGAGUAUGUACGAAGUGUUCUAUACUCAUAAGAGUAUAGUAGCCCUAACAUAUAUAUAUAUAUAUAUAUAUAUAUAUAUAUAUAUAUAUAUAUAUAUAUAUAUAUAAAACUAGGCUGGUAUACUAUCGGUAGCACGGAGGCUGAUAUAUAUAUAUAUAAAAUAGAGCUUCUACAUUUUUAAAAGUACCAAGUUAUUGGUACUUAUAUAUUUUUUGCCAUUGAAAUAAGAGAUAUACGGUUAGAAUGAUGUGGGACCAUUAAAAUUGAGUGGUGGUUGGUUCGGAUGAAAAUAAUCAAAUGUAUAGAUCUAAUAGUAAAAAAUUUACAAGUAUCAAGUGUUUGAUACUUUUAAUGUACCAUAUAUGCAGAUUUCUGAGACGGUAAAAAUUUUGCUUUUGUCUAAAUAAAUGAAAGAUGGAAUGGUUAAUUUGAUUUGAAAUUUUGUUUUUCUCCCGUUCAACUCGUUACGUUCUACUGGUUACAUUCUAUAUAUUUGUAGUGGCGUUGAACCACACCGUACAUGUGAGUAAUUAAGAUACAACCUUAUUUUCUAUAGAUAUCUGAGAUUUGGGUAAAUAGCUCUACAUGUCUCUAAACUUAAAUUAGUUUUUAAACUUGUAAAUUUGGUAUAUAUUUAAGACCGGACUGUUUGAAUUAUAUCAUUCUAGUCCUUAUUCUGAAUAAAAAAAAACAAAAAGCGGUAAACUAUAGUAAAACCUUCCAGUACUGCAUGUAUCAGUUAACACCCUCAAUUUAAUUUUAAAUAUGUUGAAUGGGGAAAUUAAUUGCACUACUAAUUAAUUUCCAAACUUCUAUUUUAGUCCUCAAUUUUUAAGUUUCACAAUAUUUGGGACUCAUUGAAUGUUUCAUUCUAGCACUUAGUUAAAAAACUAAAAAAUAAAAAAAUAUAAGAGAGAAAGAGAAAAGCUAAAUUUGUAGAAAACCUCGCCCCUUUCAUAUGUUAGAUUUUAUACUUUAUUUUCUUCAAAUUAUCAGGCCAAAUCAUUCUGUACCGACUAAGAUUUGAUAUUAGAACCACUCACCCAAUCAUAAAAUAAGAAGCGAAAAAAGCUCUAUUAUCGUGUUAAAGAACUAGAAUAUAAUCUAAAAACUCAAACGGAGUGGUAAAAAUAACCUUCACAUUAUGUAUACUAUUUUAUUUUUAUCUAAAAAGAAUCUAAACACAAGUACUCUAAUAAUAUAAUUUUGUAUUUUGUAUUUCAAUUAUAUGCACUUUCUCUAUAUAUUGACCCUCACAUUACCCCAUAGAUAUUCAAAACAAAUAAAUCUACAAAAAUAUUAUUUUUGAGACAUUUUCCUAUCAUAAUGUUGUACUAGUGUAGAGACCCGCGCGAUACAGCGGGUAGAUAAUAGAAUCAAAACUUAAAAAUUUUAAUAAAAUUUAUAUUUAUAGUUUAUUAAAUUCAACUAUUAAAAAAAUAAAAUUAUAGCUUAUAACCCACACAUUGAUAAAAUAUUAAUAUGAUGCAUGUAAUUAAAUGUUGCACUUUACAUGUAAUUAGAGAAGUGGAGAGGUGAAGAGUUGGACGUUGAGAAGAGAAAAUAAUUUGAUUUAAAAUUGGGCUAUGAGAAUAAAGAAUAACAUAUGGCAAAAAAAAAAUUUUUAUGGUACAUGCAAAAGAGUUACAAAAAAGAGGGCUGAGAGAUUAAUGGAGAAGAGAAGUUGAUUAAAGUUAUAAAUCUCACUCGAUGAUAGAAUAUUAAUAUGGUGCAUAUAAUUAAAUCUUGUUACUUACAUGUAAUUAGAGGAGUGGAAAGGUAAAGAAUUGGGCGUUGAGAAAAGGAGAAGAUGAUUUAAUUUAAAGUUGAGUUAUGAAAACGAAAGCUAACAUGCCACGUGGCAAAAAAAAAUACAAAACUGUAACUUCAUAAAGAUUUAUUUAUAGAUUUAUAGAUGUGCACGUGCGUGACUUUUCAAAUUGUGUUGGACCAUCCCAAUUAUUUUGCAAACAACGUAUUCAAUGCGGUGACAACUCAAAUUUAAUUAUUGGAGCAAGAAAAUGUAUGGAAACCCCUAAACUAUAAGCGACUUUGAAAUAGCUCCUUUAAUCUGGUUUAAUUCUAUCGACUGUUUCUAGAGCAAAUGGUCGGUAUCCGAGACUCAAGUUCGAAUUCUAGUUGAUUCACAUUUCUAGCUAAGUUUAUUUCAAAAUGAAAUAAACGAAGCGGGUAACAUGCUAUCUUUCUCUCAAAAAAAAAAAAAAAAAUCUGGUUUAAUUCUCCCUCGCUGCCAUAUUUUAUAUUAGCUUAUGGUGUUGAGUCAAUGCUUUGAGGUGUCGCUAAUAUGUUUGUAUUCUCUCUUAAAUACGUAAUUAAUGCAAGAGAUAAACUACACCCCACUCAAGUUUUUUUUUUCCAUUCUAAUUAGCUGUCAAAGAUUAAUUAAAUAUAUGGACAGUUGAAAGAAACAUUUCUCUGCUUUUCUAUUUUUUCUAAAUCUCUUACAUUUUCUCUUAUAGAUAUACGCAUGUUACGAUAGUCUUUAUAGUUCCAGUUCUAUCACUGUAACAAAAUAUAUUUUAAAUAAUAUUUUUUAGACAACGCUCUAUUAUAAUAUCUUCAAUAUUUGGUAUAUAUCAACAGUAUGACUAAAUAUUGUUAAUAAAUAUAUUUUUAUUAAAAUACUGAUAAAUUUUUCGACGCUAUAUUAAAGCGUCUGUAUAUAUAUCCCAACAUAUUUACUUAACGACUCUUUAUUCGAUAUUUUUACAGGUGUCGAGAUUAUUCUUACUGAUGCUUUAAAAACGAUCUCGAAUUUUUGUAAGUAGUAUUUCGUGAUGGACUAUUGAUGCAUAUAAAAAAAAAUUAUGUGGUUUGAUACUUUAGUUUAAAUCUAUAGAUGAAGAUGGAGCGAAAAUUUUAUUAUAGCCAAAAGUGCAGAAGAUAAGAUUUAUGCCCAUUGUUCACCCUUAUCUUGACCACAUGUUGCGGUCUAGGUUCUGGGGUGAAGAAGAUCUGCAUUAUUGCGCUUAUGUAUGUACUAUUUUCUUGACAAUUUGGGCAAUAGAAUUAAGCUCGUAUGUUUUUAAUAGUGUAAGUUAUUGAUGUUUGUAAAUUUUCGAUCUUUGAGUUAAGGGAUGUGCGGUUUGAAUGAAAAUAAUCUUCUUAGGUUGAUUGGAUAGUUGGUUGAAUAGUAUAUAUGCUCUAACGAGUAAAAAUAGUUAAAAGGAUAAAUCUAACGGCAGAAAACUUAUAAGCACUAAGUACUUGCUACUUUUGAAAACAUCAUAGUCGGACUCUCGAGCAAUAUUAGUUUUUAUAAACCGAUGAAAAAUAGAUUUAAGUAAUUGAUACCGUAAAUUUGAAAUUGUAGAUGUCGUGUAGCUUUUCCAGUUUAUAUAGUUUGCUCAGUAUAUAUUUAUCGUUUAGUUUAUGAAUUCCAUUUUUGUCUACUUCAAUAUCAAUCGAUUAUCAUAUUAUUCAUAAAUAAAAAUGGUGAAUAAAAAAGUGAAAUUGUAUCGUGCAAUUUGUGAAUAUAUAUUUUUAAUUUACCUUCUUUAAAUUAGUAUAAUUAUUUUAUUUAAUAUUUGUACAAUUUAAUUACUUUCAAUUAAAUAUAUUUUGUUUGCUAUGCAUUAAUUUUACUGCUUUAUGAAAUUUUAAAGGUAAAAAUAUAUGGUUUAAUAAAAAAGGAUUGAUGAUUUGCAAUGGGCAAGGUAGAAAUAAUUUUAAAAGAGUUGUCACUAAUCUUAAUAUUUUGAAUAAUUUUUUUAAAAUUAGGUAAAUAUAUUUUUUUGGCAUUAUUAUUUUAGAAACGCUUCUAUGUAUAUUAUGUGACUGAGGAUCAGAAGGAAAAAUUUUAGAAUGCAACUGGUAUAUUGGUGACGUGGCGUAACAAACUAAUCAAAUAUCUGGUAUAUUGGUGACGUGGCGUAACAAACUAAUCAAAUAUCUCCUUUUAGAAGUAUAUAUGUUCCAUCAUGAUUGUAAAAAAAUAUCGAUUAGAAGAGGGUACGUAGUUUCGGGACCACCUCCAUAUUGGUUAUAAGAUUGGAAUUAUUGGCACAUGCACGUGUUACGUGUACGUAGCUCGAUCGGAAUAUAUAUAUAUAUAUAUAGAACAAUAAUACAUAAUUAGCAGUAUGGCACUAUUAGGUAAUAAAUAAUAUGAAGUAACGACGAAAUUAAGCGUGCUUAUAUGGAUAUGCUUCAGCAUUAAUUUUUCAAAUGGGACCGCAAAUUAUGAUGCAUGUAUUAUCUGCUUCAAACCUCUUCAUCAUCAAAUCAUCUGCUUCGCCGAGAGAAGCCAACGACGAAGCCCACAUCACAGAAAGAAACAAAAAAAGAAACAAUACUUGGUACUUGGAAGCCAUAGCUCACACUUACGACUAGUUUUGUUGCUGAGAGUAAGGUUCUCCGCAUCGAGUUUAUGUACAAGUUCUCGACCUACUAAUUAAAGUUGCUGGACCAUUAAUGGACGUGAGAGGUCAAUUAUUCGGGGCUAUUAUUAUUAUUAUUAUUAUACGAUAUCAUUAUUGGCGGCAAUUUGCACCGCUGGUCACUGAGCCCUAAUAGCUACAUUUGGUUUGGGAACAAAUUUUGAGUAAUAAUUCGUUUAUCGUUCCACCAACAAACGAUAUUUGGGAAUUAUCUAGAAUAAGCACUAAAUUACAUUUGGAUGCUGUUUAUUGAGUUGAGUUGAAAUGCUAUUAAUAGUCUUUAAAUUUUUUUACUAUCGAUUUUUUAAUUCUUAGAUUUAUAUUUUAAUUAAUUUCUUAUUUAGGUCAUGCUAUUGAAUUUUAUAGGGAUAUAUUUAUAAUUAGUUAUGUUUACAAAAAACUAUACGUAAUUAACCCUAAAUUUAAUUAAAUUUUAAUUUUAAAAUUUUUUUAGAGGAAAAGACACAGUUUUCAGUUUCGUUCAUUUUGUGGUUUUUGUUUUUUUUUAUUUUUAAAGUAAAAUCUUAUUAUGUAGAGAGUUGGUGCUAAUGUGCAUGUGAUGAAAUUUCAUUAAUUGAUUUCUCUCUUCCGUUGUUCGAUCGGAAUGCCGCAAUCAUGAGAGGGACAGCAUUCCAGUGCUCCAUACGCCAGAGUUAUUGUGGCUGAGCUUGCACCUCUAUGUGGGACAAAAAUUUUGCGGGCACCAUCCCUAAAUUAAUAAUUUGGGGACCGUGCAAAUGGGUGUCACGUGAUUGGUUCGACGGAUGCCAAUUUUUACUAUUUUUUAUCUCUCUUUAGAAAAAUAGUAUAAUUUUUUUUUUUUUUUUCAUUGAUGGCAGUCGGAUGGACCACGUGACGCCCAUCCGCAUGGUCCCUCUAUGUGUUGUCCUUGUAUGAUUGAUGAUUGAUAGUACAACAUGUCUGGCACAACAGAAUAAGAAUAAGAGCCGCACGUAAAUUUAAAAUGAUAUAUGUAAAUUAACAAAUAUUAUUAUUGUUUAGAAUAGGUGUUUCUUUUUUUUAAGAGGGAACUCACCAAAAAUAGAAAAUUUUCUAGAUAAUGGCCGUUCCCUGAUACGUCAAUGUAUUGAAGGUGUUUUCGAUAAUAAAAUUGAGAUCUAGUAAAGUACAUUUACUGAAUAUAUAUGAGCGACGAUUUGUGAUAAUUUAUCUCUUCCUUCAAAAUCGUGUAGAAAUUAGAUAGAUUUUCUUUUAAUCGAACCGCUUCCGUAUUGAUCUAUAUAUAUAUAAUGUGAUUUGAAUACUCAUAAAAGGGGAUGGUGUACCAUUGCCCACUUUUAACAUGCACAAGACAUAGACUAUAAGUAAAAUUUACUUUUGUCUAAAUAAACGAAAGAUGAAAUAAUUAAUUUGAUUUGAUUUGAAAUUUAUAGUGGUGUUGGACCACAACAUACAUCUGAGUAAUUUAGAUACGACCUUAUUUUCUGUAGAUAUAUGAGAUUCGGUUAAAUUGCACUACAUGUCUCUGAACUUAAAUUUAAUUUUCAAAAAUUUGAUAUAUAUUUAAGACCGGACUUUUUGAAUUAUAUCAUUCUAGUCCUUAUUCUGAAUAAAAAAUGGGGUUAAAUUAUAGUCAAACUUUUCCCUGCAUGUGUCAGUUUACACCCUCAAUUUUUAAAUAUGUUGAAUGGGUAAAUUGCACUACUACUUCCCAAACUUCUAUUUUAGUCGUCAAUUUUUAAGUUUCGCAAUAUUUAGGACUCGUUGAAUGUAUCAUUCUAGCCCUUAGUUCAAAAAAAUAAAAAAUAAAAAAUAAAAAACUAUCGGAGAGAAAGAGAAAAGCUAAAUUUGUAGAAAACCUCCAUACAAAAGUUGUAUUUUACACUUUAUUUUCUUCAAUAUUUAAACUAUCAGGCAAAAUUAUUAUAUACCGACUAAGAUUUUAUAUUACAAUCACUCGCCCAAUCAUAUAUUAAGAAGCGGAAAAAGAUCUAAUAUGGUGUUAAUUAAAGAACUUGAAUCUUAUCCAAAAUAAGCGGUAAAGAUAGAUAACCUUCACAUUAGGUGUACUAUUUUAUUUUUAUCUAGUAAGAAACUAUACACAAGUACUCUAAUAAUAUAAUGUCUUUUCUAUUUCAAUUAUAUGUACUUUCCAUAUUGAACCUCACAUUACUUCAUAAAUAUUCAAAACAAAUAAAUCUAAAAAAAAAUUUCUCAAAAAACAAUAUAAAAAAAUAUUAUUAUUGAGAUAUUUUCGUAUCAUAAAGUUGCAUGUGAAUGUGCAGGACUUUUCAAAUUGUCUCGGGGGCCAUCCCAAUUAUUUUGCUGCCAACGUAUUCAAUGCGGUGACAACCGACAUUUAAUUAUUGGAGCAAAAAAAUGUAAGGAAACCCCUAAACUAUAAGCCUCUUUGAAAUAGCUCCUUCAAUCUAGUUUUUCUCUCAUUGCCCUCUUUUAUAUUAGUUUAGAGUGUGUUUGGUUCCACCUAAAAUUAUUUCAAUUUUUUUUUGGCAGUUGAAAAGUAAAUUCUCGAUGUUUGAUUGUUUGCAAAAAAAAUUUCUCAAUUUUUUUUUUUUACAGAUUCAAUAGAACUGGAGGAUUUUGUUCUCUGCUUGUUUCGAGAGGAAAACGAAAACUUCAGCCGCGAAAAUACGUGGCGUUUCGGAAAGGCGGGGAUGUGUAUCACGUGGUCCAAAAGGUGACCUCCACCUCGUGGACUGCAUGAGAGUCUCUCCCCCUUUUCUUAUAUAUAUAUAGAGUCCGGCAGCUAUACUCUAAUUAUGAGAACGAUCGCCCUCCUACUCAUAAGUCGUUUUCGAUAAUAGAGUUUCCGAAUCGACAAUCCAUACCGUUAAACAUUAUCUACAGUAUUUAAAACUUCUAGAAAUCAAAUUCUAUAGUAGGUCUUGUGUGCUUUUAGAAGUACAAGGCCUUCAUACUGCUAAACCGUUUUCGAUGAUAGAGAUUCUAAAUUAACGAUCGAUUCCGUUAGACUUGAUUUAGCAUAUUUGAAAUAUCUAAAAAAUAAAUUUUACGAUUUUUCGAUAUCAUUUAUCUAACGAUCAAAAGAGUUCAAAAUCAACGGUUGAAAAUAAAAAUCUCACAAAAAGCGGUGAUAUGGACACUAAAAUUUUUGAUUAGAGAUAUUGAUCUUGCUAUAAAUAGUAUAAAUAAUUUUUUAUAAAAAUUUUAUCUGAUUUGAAUAAUUAUACACGGUUAAAUUUGCAAACAGUAUAUAUAUAUCAACAAUUAACAAUUAUUAAUUUUGAUCCCUUUCGAUCAUUAAGUAAAUGAUAUUAAAAAAUCACAAAAUUUAUUUUCUAAAUAUUUUAAAUACGCUAGAUCAAGUUUAACGGAGCUGAUCGUUAAUUCAAAAGCUCCAUCAUCAAAAAUAGUUUAGAAGCACAGAGGCUCGAUCCGUGCUUCUAAUAGCGUAGUUGAAAUAUUCAAAAACUCCAUCAUCAAUGAUCGGUGCGAAUUAAGGAAGAAAAAAUUCAACUUAUCUUACAAAAUUAUUUUGGGAAAUCCUCGCUGCACAAUUAGGCGAAUCCUAUGCCCAAAUGAACAUCAAGAGAUUGAUAAAAAAAAGGGAGAGCAAAGAAAUGGGUUUAAAAAAACACAAGGAGGGCCCCAAUCCACCUCUCCUCCACCCAAAUAAAUGUACGCGGUACCGCCACGUUGGAUUAAACUGUGAUUUUAUAAAUUUUUAUUAUAGAAGAUGUUAUCAACAAAAAAUUUUAAUUCUUAUAUUUUUUUAUAUAUAAAGUGAAAAUUUUUAUUUUAGUUUAUUUUAAUAUCUUUUCUGUGAAACAAUCGUUGUACUCUAAAAACUUAAAUUGUUAGAGAACGAUGUUUAAACAUUUUUUAUAUUUAACACUCCCCCUCACGUCUGGGCUUGAGACUUUUUAGUCGGCCCAUGACGUGAGCUUGAAUUAAAUGGGAGGAAAUUAAUAUGUUAGGAGUCUGGCGUGACUCCAACUCAAGACCUCCUGCUCUGAUUUAGAUGUGAAACAACUGUUGUACUCUAAAAGCUUAAACUGUUAGAGAACGGUGCUUAAACAUUUUUCAUAUUUAACACUCCCCCUCACGUCUGGGCUCGAGACUUUUUAGUCGGCCCAUGACGUGGGCUUGAAUUAAAUGGGAGUAAAUUAAUAUGCUAGGAGCCUGGCGUGACUCGAACUCAGGACCUCCUGCUCUGAUACCAUGUGAAACAUCCGUUGUACCCUAAAAGCUUAAGCUGUUAGAGAACGGUGUUUAAACAUUUUUUAUAUUUAACAUUUUCCUGCAUUUGAUUCAAAAUUUAUUACAAACUAAUAGGUUGAUGAUGUCUUCUGUUUUUAUUUAAUAUCUAAAUUUGAGGGCAGUGAGUACCCCAAUUUAAUUUUUUUAAUUCAAUAUCAUUUGAUUAUCAAAUUAUUCAUAAAUAAAAAUGGUGAAUAAAAAGUGAAAUUGUAUCGUACAAUUUGUGAAUAUAUAUUUUUAGUUUACCUUGUUUAAAUUAGUAUGAUUGUUUUAUUUAAUAUUUGUACAAUUUAAUUACGUUCAAUUAACUAUAUUUUGUUUGCUAUGCAUUUUACUGCAUUUAUGAAAUUUUAAAGGUAAAAAUUUAUAGUUUAAUCAAAAAGUAUUGAUGAUUGGCAUUGGGCAACGUAGAAAUUUUGAAAGAGUUGUCACUAAUCUUAAUAUUUUGAAUAAUUUUUUUUCAAAUUAGCUAAAUAUUUUUGGCAUUAUUAUUUUAGAAAAGCUUCUAUGUAUAUAAUGUGACAAAGGAUUAGAAGAGGGUACGUAGAUAUGAUGUUAUUCCUAGGUAAUACACUAAUUACCUUAACUCUUUGAAUGGUUCAUAAGGCGGAAACAUUUUGAUAAUUAAUAUAAAGGGUACAACUCGAUCUUUCUUUCUUUUUUUUUCUUUUUUUUCUUUUUUUUUUUUUGAGAAAAGGUAGUGAAGCUACCUGCUUCAUUCAUUAGGCUAAAUAAACUAAGCAUAUAUGAUUGAGGCAACUAAGGCCUCCGGAAGGGUCUUGAAGAAAAACAAAAUAAAUGGAAAAAAAAGGAAAAAAAAGAAAAAAGACAAAAAAGUAGACAACAGUGAAUAAACCUUACUAAAAACGGUCGUCCCAAUAAGGUACCAAAACAGGGUGCGCGGUCGAGUCAAAGUGCGUCAGCCCAGUCUUUGAUCAAGUAAGUGACACGUUCGAUGGCCCGGGCAGCGUUAGAACGUGUAUCGCGAAAAAUAAUAUUAUUACGUUCCGUCCAUACCACCAACCAGAUUGCCUCUAGAUGAGCCCGGCUUUGACUCGAUCAUUACUAGGCUUUGACUCGAUCAUUACUCCGGUACAUUCUAGUUUUGUAUACUCCAGCUCCGAGGAGAACACAACGCUCGUUUCCGAGAUGCAGAACAAAUUAAACAGAUGCUGUAGCAUCAUGUCACGUUUCAAAUUGUUUCGUGACCACCUCAAUAUAUGUUCACUUUUUUGUACACAUGGUUACUGCAGAUUGAACCAGCACGUGACCGAUACGUACGUUUAGUCCCCAUUAAGAUUGGAAUUAUUGGCACAUGCACGUGUUAGGUGUACGUAGCUCGAUCGGAAUAUAGAACAAUAAUACAUAAUUAGUAUGGCACUAUUAGGUAAUAAAUAACAUGAAGUAACGACGAAAGCAAGCUUAUAUGGAUAUGUUUCAGCACUUUUCAAAUGGGAUGGCAAAUUAUGAUGUACGAAAUAUAUUAUUACAUACAAAAAUAAAUAAAAUAUUUAUUUAUCAUAUUUUUUCUUUACAGGUGGCACAAUCUUUCAAUAAUUUCAAACAAAGCGUUAGUGUAUUAGAAUUUUAAUUCUUGAAUGAGAAAUUGUUGGAUUAAAAUGAUAUUAGUAUCUUAGAGUUGAGUGAUUCCUCUAAAGUUGAGUGGUUCCUACUGAAUUAUAAUAUUUAAUUCAAUAAUUUAAAAUAAUAAAAAGAAUUGAUCCAAAAAACCUAUAGCAAAAAUGGCCUUUUGGUAUCAAUAGUAUUCUAUCCCAUCUCUCUCUCUCUCUCUCUCUCUCUUUCUCUCUCUCUCUCUAUAUAUAUAUAUAUAUAUAUAUAUGAAUCAGGCUGGGAUACUAUCAAUAGGACCAAGCGUUUAGUGCUAUCAAGUUUUUCACUGUUAGAUUUAACUCUUUGACUAUUUUUAUCUGUUAGAUUAUACUAUUAAACCGAUAACUUAUUCAACCCUAGGAGGCCCACAUUAUUUUAACCGUAUAUUUUUUCAUCCAAGGACCGAAAAUCUAAUAGCACCAAUAGUUUGGUGCUAUUGAUAAUAUUCCAGCCUAGUUCUAUAUGCACACACAGGUCUUGUGUGCUAUUAGGAGCACAGAAGUCUUCGUGCUCCUAAGUCAUUUUUUAUGAUGAAGUUUUUGAAUCGACGAUCGAUUCCAUUAGACUUGAUUUAUCUAUUUAAAAUAUUUAGAAAAUAAAUUUUAAAGAAAGCGCUAGUGGAUUAGCAUUUAGCGAGUUAGAUUUCAAUUUCUUACCUCACAUGUAGUGUGUGGGCUUAGAUUUCAACUUCUUACCUCACAUCUAGUGUGUGGGCAUGUACGUAAUUGCACCGCACAGAGCAAUAUAGAUGCACAAUUCUAUUAACUGCUACAGGCUUUACAUACCAUUACUUGAUGAUCUUAUUCGGAUAAAAAUUUGCUAGGCAUCAUCCCCAAAUUAUAAGUUGGGGGACGAUGCGGAUGUGUGCCGCAUCGCCCUUCCGACACGCGCCCAUGGAAGGAAAAAAAAAAAAUGGCGCCCUGUGUUUAUAUAGAGAGAGAGAGUGAGAGAGAGAGAGAGAGCAGAGGGAGGGAGGAGAGUGAUCGUCGGAUGGGUCAGGCGGCGCCCAUCUGUAUCAUCUAGUUUGGAGACCAUGCCCAGCAACUUUUUGUCCAACUUACUCAUCAAAACAGCAUAAACUUACAAAAUUAAAUACAAACAGUUGGCUACUAAAUAUAUAUUAGGCAGCCAGUGGAACUGAUAAUAAUGCAACAAAAAUACAAAUGAAAACAGCAAGCCCUACUCGAUCAUACAGAUAAUCUUCGCACGAGCAUCGCCCGAUUUAUUACAUAGCUUAUAAGGUACGUAGCACACAGGGCACUUCAUUGCAUGCUAAAUCGCAGCUUCGAUAACCCUUACAUGGAGCUGACACGAUCAUCCGAACCCAUGUCAGAGGGUUCUGUAAUGCGCGGUGACGAAACAAGAGUCGGGUAAAUACCAUAGCUAGCCAGACCACAUAAUCCAGGAUAUGCCGUGUCUCUUAACAUCCUCACGUAUCCAUUUUCUCCCCACCUGUUGCCCCAUGAAUUCUUUAUUAUCCAAUACUUGUCUCCGGUGCUGCUGUCCUGCCCGUAACCUACGACGGUAACGGCAUGGAAAAUAUUUGUCCCACAAGGUCCUUUAAAGAUACCGCCAUUGUAGUAAUUGAAGUAAUAAGAGCUAGCAUCAAUAGCAAUAACUGUCGGCUGGUUCGCCACAGCAUACAUGAUCGCGCGUUCAUCGUAGCUAGGUUGUACAUAUUGAUAGCCGGUAAUAUAAGCUGCAUUCGGUUUGUUAUUUCUGCAAGUGCCUUUGUAUCCUACAUAGGGAUAGUUCGCCUCCGUCGUCACGCCCUUGUUAGCGAUGAUAAAUUCGUAGGCUUUGUGUACCCAACCAGAUGUGCACGCGUUGCUAACAGUACAAUCUAAAACUUCUUGCUCCGAUAGAGAUAUUAGUUGCCCUGUUUUAAUCUUGUAGAUGCCUUCUACCGUCGCGAUUGAAGAGAAUGCCCAGCAAGAACCUAUUUCAAAACAUAUAUUCAAGUUAGCACAACUCGUACAAGCAAAAGUUACGUAGAUUGUUAAUUAAGAUGUAAGAAGAACAUUCAAACAAGUAUGGACAAGGUCAAACAGAUGAUUACUGUGUUACUUUAUGCUUACUUGAGUGAAAAUGAUUAAUGUUGUCAUACUUCUUGUCGGAAAUUAAUUUUUCUAAAAACUUAAUUAAACUACUGAAGAACGAUUUCUAAUUAUUAAGAAUUAAUACUUCUUAUUAUGUCUAAUCUACAAAUGUACAUAUAGUAGGUGAUAACAUGUGUUCGUACACUUUUAGCUAGUCUGAGACAUGAACUUUGCAUUCAAAUGCGGUGGAGGUUUGGUUCUUUUGUCCACAUAAAUGGCUAAUGGAAUGGUGAGAUUUGGGCCCAAGGCAUCCUAUUCUCAUGAGGUUAAUUAAAAAAAUAACAUUUAUUAAGGUUCAGGCUGCUAUAGCUAGAAAUUAAUGCGCUUUAGUUCUCUAAACUCUACACUUGGUUCUUACCGCAAGUUCCUUGAUUCUUGACUGGUGUUACGGCACCGUAAUCCCUCCAAUCAAUGCUUUGAGGUAUCGCGGACAUGUUUACAUCCUCAAACGACACCGAUGGCUCUAAAUUUGUCAUAUUUAGAGGGAGAGAUAGACCGACAUGCUGAGCCACGAUUUCAUCAUUUGUCAUGUCAGCGAAUUGAUUAAUGCCCAGAGUAUACGAGUUGCCGCCGCGCCUGUUGAAGGCUUCAAUGCGGUUCACAUUGUCCUUAAAGAUCUCAAAACGGCGCAUCUUCUCAGCAUCGUCACUGUAAACUCGGCCGAAAUCGGCCAUCCAUUCAUCAAACCUCUUCAUCAUCGAAUCAUCUGCUUCACCGCGAGAAGCCAACGGCGAAGCCCACAGCACAGAAAGAAACAGAAAGAGAAACAAUACUUGGAAUCUGGAAGCCAUAGCUCUGACUUACAAAUGCUUUUUUUGCUGAGAGUAAGGCUCUCCUCAUCGAGUUUAUAUAGUAGUUCUCGGCCUAUGUACGUACUAAAGUUGCUGGACCAUUAUUGGACGAGAGGUCCAUUAUUGGGGGCUAUUAUACGAGAUCAUUAUUGGCGGCAAUAAUAGCUUCAUUUGGUUUGAGAACAAUUUUUGAGUAAUAAUUUUUUAUCGUUCCAGUAACAAAUGGUAUUCCGGAAUUACAUUUCGAUACUGUUUAUUUUGUUGAGCUGGAAUACUCUAUAUUAAUAGUAUUUAAAUUUUUUCGCUAUUAUUUUUUUAACCGUAAGAUCUAUAUUUUAAUUAAUUCCACCAUUUAAAUUAUACUAUUCAAAUAGCUACCCAUUCAAUGCUAAGAAGGACCACGAUCAUUCUAAUUCUAUAACUUUUCAUCAAAAAAUUAGAUAAUCGAUAGUAAAAUAGUCAAAUACUAAUAAUAAUAUUUCAGCUCAAUUCUUAUUUAUUUGUUCUGAAAUGAUAUUAUUUUUUUUUUUUUAGUGAGAAAGGUAGCACGAUACCCGCUUCAUUCAACAGAACGAUGAAUUAGGCUACAAGAGUGGGGCAGCCAAGCCCCGGGCGAAGGCGCAAACAAAAAAUAAAAAAAAAAAAAACAACAACAACGCACGCACACACUUAGGAGAGAGGAAAGAAUCCCACUCCGACACUAAUAGCUUGAGCCUCUGGACAGCUAACCCCGGAUUUGGUUGGCAAUUCCUGAAUAUCCAAUUGUUCCUCACCUUUCAAAUAGUCCACCAGCAGCCUGCCAGAUCAGUAAGUCUGGUUCUCUUCUUGUGCUGAUCCUUUCUAUCCGACCACUUUUCCCAGACGAGUUCCACGUCGUCCCCCAGGUCCUGGGCCUAGAUAUCGUCCACCUCUGAAACUAUGAUGAACUUGGUAAAUAUGCACCUACUGAACAAGUGAUCCACGGUUUCCACUUCCGCCCCACAAAGUACACAGGUAGGGUCGUCCGCCAGCCCUCUCAAAACUAGUUUAUCACGAGUAAGAUUCCUUUUCUUGAGUACCAACCAACAAAAUACUUUGUUUUUCAAAAGGAUUUUCAGGUUCCAGAUCCUGGAUACGCGUACAUCUCUCACACUCUCAAAAACACCAUGAGGUUAGUGCUUUUGAUAUUAUUAGUAUGUGGAUAUUUUAUGUUUGAAUAAGGUAUUGAAAUGAUUAAAAAUGUAUGAAAUAUCAGUUUUGCCCUUAUAUAUAUAUAAUAAUCAAAAUAAGAGUUGAGCUAGAAUACUCUCAAAAGCACCAUGAGGUUAGUGCUUUUGAGUUUUUAACUCUUGGAUGAAAAAAUGUAAGAUUGGGAUGAUGGUAGUAGGUGGUGGUAGGUGGAAUAGUGUUUGAUCUAAGGGCUAUUAGUAAUCAAUGAAUAGACUUAAGGGCUAGAAACCUAAAAGCAUCAAGGGGGUGAUACUUCUAAAAGUAUUCUAGCUCAAUUCAUGAAAAUAAACAUAAAUUAUUAAAAAGCUAAAAAUAUUAUAUUUGUCUCGAUUAUCAAAUUAAAUAUUAAUUUUUUUUAGAGAGAUAGAUAGCACGCUACCCGCUUCGUUUAUUUCCUCUAUAAAUAAACUUAGCUAGAAAUAUAAAUCAACUAGGAUUCGAACUUGGAUCUCGGAUACCAACCACCAAGCCCUUUGCCACUUGUUCUAGGGACGAUCAAUAUCUUUUAAAUGUGAAUCAAAUUUUAAAUAUUAAUUAAUUAUAAUUUAGAAAUAAACUUAGCUAGAAAUAUGAAUCAAAUUAAAUAUUAAUUAAUUACAAUUUAGGUACUUUUUUUUCUCCCUAAAGAAAAACUAGAAGCAAAUUAUUAGCAAAGAAAACACCAUUUUUUGAAUAGAAAAUAAAAAUAAUUCCCACAAUAAAUAAAAAUUAAUUCUCAACCAAAAAAUAAAUUGAUUAAUUUGGAAGAACGAGCUCGGCGACGGAGGCGUUGUUCUCAAAAGUUAGAUCUCCCUGGUGGGAGAACCAAGCUUAACGAGUUAUUAAGAUAUAAUUCGUAAAGUCCUCUACAAGAUCAGCUUUCAAUUCUCUCUUUUUUUUUUUCUUUUUUUUUUCUUUUUUCCUAUAAGUUUAAGAAUAUCUUCCUCGUUCCGGAAAUAUUCCCGAAACAAACUCUUAGUCUCUCUAUUUCAUCAUGAUGCCAUAUGAAUGCAAUGUAUAACCCCGAACCAAACACGGGCUAAAUUUACUACCAUAUAUGUGUUUAGUUCUAUCUUUUAUUUAAAGAUUAUAAUUUUUUUCUUUCUGUAGUUAAAACAAAUUUUACAUGUCUCAUGAUUUCCUACAAGUUGUAAAGGGCUAAGUGGUUGGUACCCGAGGUUCCAAAUUUGAGUCCUAAUUAAUUCACAUUUUAAGUUAAGUUUAUUUCUAAAUAAAAUAAACGAAGCGGGUACUACUUAUCUCUAUAAAAAAAAACUAUUUUGUCGAAAUAUAUUAUAAAGUCACCUGUUAAUGCAGCUAAAAAUAUUCCCAACAUUCAAUGGAUGAUAUAUAGGUAUAGCGUUGUUAAAAGGAGCUUUUUAUCUGAUAAAUGAUCGAGUUGAAUAUAUUUGCUCAUCAAAUUUUAAUAGACGCAAGGCAUAGUCUAUAAAUGUAUAGCCUAUAAAUGUAGUUUAGUAAAAGUAAAAUUACUUUUGUCCAAAUAAAUAGAUGGAACUAUAAGAUUUGAUUUUUUUUUUUUUUUUCUUACUGGGUUCGUUCUAUUUAUGGCCGCAUAGGACCGUACCACGAUAUUCUUGUUGGUUAUUCAGAUCCAACAUUAUUUGUUGUAUAUAUUUAAUAAUUGGAUAAAUUACACUACUGGUCUCUAAGAGGUAGUGAAUUUGCAACCCACCUUAAUAUCGCUUGUUGUGAAUAGAGUAUUCACUUUUAUAACAAUUGUUAAGAUUUCAUAAUGAGAGCAUUAAAGCGAAUAUUUACUAUAAAUCCAUUUUUUCAGCAAAAACUGAUCUUAGUAGUCCAAGAAAAGAGAGAAAAAAAAUCAAAUAAAAAUAAAAGUGAAAUAAUAUUCACUAACUAAAAGUGUAGAACGCAGGGGAAGUAUUCGUUUAUACCUUUUUGCGGAAGUGAUUCGCGCUACAAUGCGACGAGUCCGGAUUAUAGAGGUUGAUUCAUGUAUCCUUGGAUCGUCCUUACAGGUCUUCUAAUGUUCCAAACUCGCGGUGGAUCGAACUACAAACGAGCACGAUCGCAAAUCCACCGUUUAAGACCCUCUAGAAUAGUUGGUUAAUGGAGAAUGUGGUUUUUAUGUUUUUUUCUACGUUUUUCUCUUAGUUUUCUUAUUCUCUUUCUUAUUCUCUUGUUCUUAUUUUUAAUGUGAGAUCACCCGCAUAUUUAUAAGAGUUUCCAAAAUCCUAAUAGGUGCGUAAGAGAUAAGACCAAAUCGGCUAUUAAUUGAUAUCCUAAUAUGAUUAGAAUUUAUUUUUAAUUAGCUUUUCAAUUUAAAAGCGAGAUUAAUUCUAAUCCAGUUAGACAAUAUAAUAACUGUCGGAUCGAGUCCGAUCAUGGAUGCACCCAAUUCGAUUUAAUCGGAUGCCAACAAAAAAAAUAAUUAUAUCCUACUCUUCUGCGCGGAGUAAUUUCAAUUCGAGCUCUCUUUGCAAAUCUCUCUCACCACUUUCUCGUCCUCUAAUCUAACGGCGUCUCUUCUGUGCACGCGUGUACAAAAUGCACAAACGACUCACAGUAUAACAAAAGCGGCCCGCACACAUUGAUGAACAGAAUUACCAACUGGACCAUACUAGGCCAGACAAAACUGUAGAUUAAUUACUCGGCCUUUUUUUGACACCCCGGGCUGUUUGCUUCCAGGAAAAAAUAUCUAGAAAAAUUUAGAGGAAAGAAGUUUUUACAUGAAAAAUUCUUAUUUAAGUUUUCCGCUCGUUUGUUUUCAAGAUAUAUUAGAAUUUUUUUUUAUUUUUUUCUUAAGUUCAUGAAAAACUAGUAUUUUUAUUUUUUAAAUUUUUUUUAGAAAACGAUAAUACUAGUUNUUUUUUUUUUUUUUUUUUUUUUUUUUUUUUUGUAAAAUCUGGAAUAAUAGAGUUUUCUGAUAAAACUGGUUUCUUUGGGACUGAAUGGAGAAACUAGUAAUGUGUGUUAAUUAGUGACACAUUUAUUUUGUAUUAGUGCUAGAGGCCUGAGCCUAGAGGUGGCCUCACACAGUACUUAUUCAAGUUCCCGCUGUGUCAUCCUGACCCAAAUGUUCCUGAACCAUGGUCCAGCCCCACUAGUUUGGACCGCACGUACAUUAUCAGGCCACGGUCCGAUCCUAUUUGCUUUUACAUUUUUUAAUAUAUUUUUAAACUUUCAUUUUUAAGAUUAUAUUGUUUAAGUUUUUAAUAUAUUGAUAUAGUUAUUCAUUCAAUAAGUAGGGAUUUUAUAACUUUUUAAUAUCACUAGUCAAAAUUUAAAUAGUUUCAAUUAUGUCUGAGAGAUAAAAAAAAUAAUUACAAAUACUAAAAGAAAAUAAAACAAAAUAGAAAUUUACGAUAACAUAGCUAACACCGGCGAAAUUAUGUCGAUUGCUCAGACAUAAUAAAACAUUUUUUUUUAAGAGAUAAGUAGCAUGCUACUCGCUUUAUUUAUUUCAUUUAGAAAUAAAUUUAGCUAGAAAUAUGAAUCAACUAGGAUUCGAACUUAGAUAAUGUAGCUUAUUAUUUGGAGCUGUUUUUUUUCCCCUUGUUUUCACUAGUAUAGCUUGCCUAUAUUAUAGAGGUCACGUUGUUUGUUUGGUUUUUUUUUUUUUUUUGAGAGAGAGAUAUAAGUAGCAUACUAUCCGCUUCAUUUAUUUCAUUUAGAAAAUAAACUUAGCUAGAAAUAUGAAUCAACUAAGAUUCGAACUCGAGACCUCAGAUACCAACUAUUAAGUAUUUUGCCACUUGCGCUAGAAACGGUCGGUAUAGAGGUCACAUUGUUAUCUACUUGGUUUUGGUGAAUAGGGAUGAUUAAGAAUACGAUCAAAUUAACAUCUUGGGCAAAAAUUAAUUAAUCUAAAAUGCUUAAUUAUAUAGUUUAUUGCGCCUAUAUUAAUCUUGACAUUUGUUACAACACCAUUAUCUUUCCAAUCAACGCUCUGAGCUAGGUACCGCGGACAUGUUAACA
This 43262-nucleotide long non-coding RNA is filed under the name Ananas comosus (pineapple). RNAcentral's name for it is "long non-coding RNA (ACOM_LNC008224)". The record is from RNAcentral. Lineage: Eukaryota; Viridiplantae; Streptophyta; Magnoliopsida; Poales; Bromeliaceae.